GGGUGGUAAUGCCGGAUGCUCCGGUUGGAUGCAUGUCCUUCCGGGAAAGAUUCCAUCGGUAUGGGAUGGGGUCGCGUCCUAUCAGCUUGAUGGCGGGGUAACGGCCCACCAUGGCUUCGACGGGUAGCCGGCCUGAGAGGGCGACCGGCCACAUUGGGACUGAGAUACGGCCCAGACUCCUACGGGAGGCAGCAGUGGGGAAUAUUGCACAAUGGGCGCAAGCCUGAUGCAGCGACGCCGCGUGCGGGAUGGAGGCCUUCGGGUUGUAAACCGCUUUUGAUCGGGAGCAAGCCCUUCGGGGUGAGUGUACCUUUCGAAUAAGCACCGGCUAACUACGUGCCAGCAGCCGCGGUAAUACGUAGGGUGCAAGCGUUAUCCGGAAUUAUUG
This 388-nucleotide ribosomal RNA is filed under the name uncultured Bifidobacterium sp. RNAcentral's name for it is "bacterial SSU rRNA". It matches the Rfam family "Bacterial small subunit ribosomal RNA", at positions 158 to 556 of the family's 1533-position model. Lineage: Bacteria; Bacillati; Actinomycetota; Actinomycetes; Bifidobacteriales; Bifidobacteriaceae. The record is from RNAcentral.